UCAACGGCCCUUAUCAGGGCCACCAAUUACUCACGAAAGAAUUGUUU
Molecule: non-coding RNA, 47 nt
Organism: Strongylocentrotus purpuratus (purple sea urchin)
Lineage: Eukaryota; Metazoa; Echinodermata; Echinoidea; Camarodonta; Strongylocentrotidae
Source: Rfam